CCACGAACCGUCCAAACGUUAUUCGGAAUCACUGGGCUUAAAGGGUGCGUAGGCGGCGUUUUAAGUAAGGUGUGAAAUCCCACGUCUCAACCGUGGAACUGCGCUUUAUACUGGAAUGCUUGAGUAAGAUAGAGGUAAGCGGAACUGAUAGUGGAGCGGUGAAAUGCGUUGAUAUUAUCAGGAACACCAGUGGCGAAGGCGGCUUACUGGGUCUUAACUGACGCUGAUGCACGAAAGCUAGGGUAGCGAAGAGGAUUAGAUACCCUCGUAGUCCUAGCCGUAAACACUGAGCGCUGGGUGGGAGGAAGCUCCAUUUUUUCCUGCCGUAGAGAAAUUGUUAAGCGCUCCGCCUGGGGAGUAUGGUCGCAAGGCUGAAACUCAAAUGAAUUGACGGGG
RNAcentral lists this ribosomal RNA (396 nucleotides) under uncultured bacterium. RNAcentral's name for it is "partial 16S ribosomal RNA". It matches the Rfam family "Bacterial small subunit ribosomal RNA", at positions 523 to 918 of the family's 1533-position model. The record is from RNAcentral.